UACGAAGGGGGCGAGCGUUGUUCGGAUUUACUGGGCGUAAAGGGCGCGCAGGCGGCUCAUUUUGUCAGGCGUGAAAGCCCCGGGCUUAACCUGGGAGGUGCGUUUGAUACGGAUGGGCUAGAGUUCGGGAGAGGAGAGUGGAAUUCCCAGUGUAGAGGUGAAAUUCGUAGAUAUUGGGAAGAACACCGGUGGCGAAGGCAGCUCGCUGGGACGUGACUGACGCUGAGACGCGAAAGCGUGGGGAGCAAACAGG
This 253-nucleotide ribosomal RNA is filed under the name uncultured bacterium. Its description in RNAcentral is "partial 16S ribosomal RNA". It matches the Rfam family "Bacterial small subunit ribosomal RNA", at positions 524 to 776 of the family's 1533-position model. The record is from RNAcentral.